AACGUAGGAUGCAAGCGUUGUCCGGGUUUAUUGGGUUUAAAGGGUGCGGAGGCGGCCUAUUAAGUUAGUGGUGAAAACGUUCGGCUUAACCGGUUACCCGCCAUUGAUACUGAUAGACUUGAGUGCGACAGAGGGUGUUGGAAUGUGUGGUGUAGCGGUGAAAUGCUUAGAUAUCACGCAGAACACCAAUUGCGAAGGCAGAUGCCUAUGUCGUAACUGACGCUGAGGCACGAAAGCGUGGGGAGCAAACAGG
RNAcentral lists this ribosomal RNA (253 nucleotides) under uncultured bacterium. RNAcentral describes it as "partial 16S ribosomal RNA". It matches the Rfam family "Bacterial small subunit ribosomal RNA", at positions 524 to 776 of the family's 1533-position model. The record is from RNAcentral.